Molecule: unclassified non-coding RNA, 264 nt
Filed under: Dinemasporium parastrigosum
Lineage: Eukaryota; Fungi; Ascomycota; Sordariomycetes; Chaetosphaeriales; Chaetosphaeriaceae
Description: partial internal transcribed spacer region
Rfam family: Eukaryotic small subunit ribosomal RNA (bases 1-46)
Source: RNAcentral
AAGUCGUAACAAGGUCUCCGUUGGUGAACCAGCGGAGGGAUCAUUACAGGACGUCAUACUCCCGUAAUACCACUGUGAAUCUUACCUACCGUCGUUGCCUCGGCGGACGCCUCCCGGGCGGCAUGAGGGUCUUCGGAUCCCCGGCCGCCCGCUGCGGGAGGGUCCACGUCCGCCGGCGGCCCGCAUACUCUGUCUCAGCGUGUUGGCAUCUCCGAGUAUUAUACAAACGAGUCAAAACUUUCAACAACGGAUCUCUUGGUUCUG